Lacerta agilis (Sand lizard) is the source of this 439-nucleotide long non-coding RNA. RefSeq lists it as uncharacterized. The record is from RefSeq and is a predicted model, not a curated record. Lineage: Eukaryota; Metazoa; Chordata; Lepidosauria; Squamata; Lacertidae. The transcript has 3 exons.
UAAAUGUUAUCAAAGCCCUGCCAGGGCUGUGAGUAAACUGAUUUACAUGCAGCAGAGGUGGGGCGAAAGGAAACAGUAAUUGACCUUGUUGCCCUCUUCUGAUUAUUCAAGGCACAGCAGCCUCCCGAAAAGCCCAUUCAUCUCUGCGCCACAGUCUUGGAUGACUGAGGAAUAAUUACAGGAGGAUGUAAGGAUAUGUGAAUUGCAAAACAGGAAAGGAGCCAUUGGGCCGUGGCCUUCCCUUUCUCUCUCUGUUUAUGUUGACAAGUGCGUUGUGUUUGGAAGAAGAACAGCCCCAAAGCAAACAGCGGCAAAAGCCUUCUUCUAUUACCAAGGCUAUUUCCACAGUAUGCAUUAGAUCAACCUCAGGAGCCUGAAGGCAAAUGGAUUUCCCAGUUCCGAAAGUGGCUUUCAGCUCCGCAAUGACUUGCUAAUUCUG